Molecule: ribosomal RNA, 185 nt
Filed under: uncultured bacterium
Lineage: Bacteria
Description: partial 16S ribosomal RNA
Rfam family: Bacterial small subunit ribosomal RNA
Source: RNAcentral
GAGAGUUUGAUCCUGGCUCAGGACGAACGCUGGCGGCGUGCCUAAUACAUGCAAGUCGAGCGAACAUUUGAGAGCUUGCUCUCAAAUGUUAGCGGCGGACGGGUGAGUAACACGUGGGCAACCUGCCUAUAAGACUGGGAUAACCUCGGGAAACCGGAGCUAAUACCGCUCGUAGACUGCGUACA